UACGGGGGGGGCAAGCGUUGUUCGGAAUUACUGGGCGUAAAGGGUUCGUAGGUGGCCAACUCAGUCAGACGUGAAAUCCCUCAGCUCAACUGGGGAACUGCGUCUGAUACUAGAUGGCUCGAGUGCAGGAGAGGAACGCGGAAUUCCAGGUGUAGCGGUGAAAUGCGUAGAUAUCUGGAGGAACACCGGUGGCGAAGGCGGCGUUCUGGACUGCAACUGUCACUGAGGAACGAAAGCCAGGGGAGCAAACGGG
Molecule: ribosomal RNA, 253 nt
Filed under: uncultured bacterium
Lineage: Bacteria
Description: partial 16S ribosomal RNA
Rfam family: Bacterial small subunit ribosomal RNA
Source: RNAcentral